CACGUAGGGGGCGAGCGUUGUCCGGAAUUACUGGGCGUAAAGGGCGCGCAGGCUGUUAUGCGAGUCUGCUGUGAAAUGUACCGGCUCAACCGGUGCCUUGCGGCGGAUACUGCAUAGCUGGAGUACUGGAGAGGGAAGUGGAAUUCCCGGUGUAGCGGUGAAAUGCUUAGAUAUUACACAGAACACCGAUUGCGAAGGCAGCUUGCUGGGUCAUUACUGACGCUGAUGCACGAAAGCGUGGGGAUCAAACA
This 251-nucleotide ribosomal RNA is filed under the name uncultured prokaryote. RNAcentral describes it as "partial 16S ribosomal RNA". It matches the Rfam family "Bacterial small subunit ribosomal RNA", at positions 524 to 774 of the family's 1533-position model. The record is from RNAcentral.